This 460-nucleotide ribosomal RNA is filed under the name uncultured bacterium. Its description in RNAcentral is "partial 16S ribosomal RNA". It matches the Rfam family "Bacterial small subunit ribosomal RNA", at positions 338 to 795 of the family's 1533-position model. The record is from RNAcentral.
CCUACGGGAGGCAGCAGUGAGGAAUAUUGGUCAAUGGACGAGAGUCUGAACCAGCCAAGUAGCGUGAAGGAUGACUGCCCUAUGGGUUGUAAACUUCUUUUAUAUGGGAAUAAAAUGUUCCACGUGUGGGAUUUUGUAUGUACCAUAUGAAUAAGGAUCGGCUAACUCCGUGCCAGCAGCCGCGGUAAUACGGAGGAUCUGAGCGUUAUCCGGAUUUAUUGGGUUUAAAGGGAGCGUAGGUGGAUUGUUAAGUCAGUUGUGAAAGUUUGCGGCUCAACCGUAAAAUUGCAGUUGAAACUGGCAGUCUUGAGUACAGUAGAGGUGGGCGGAAUUCGUGGUGUAGCGGUGAAAUGCUUAGAUAUCACGAAGAACUCCGAUGGCGAAGGCAGUUCACUGGACUGCAACUGACACUGAGGCUCGAAAGUGUGGGUAUCAAACAGGAUUAGAUACCCUAGUAGUC